This 519-nucleotide ribosomal RNA is filed under the name uncultured eukaryote. Its description in RNAcentral is "bacterial SSU rRNA". It matches the Rfam family "Eukaryotic small subunit ribosomal RNA", at positions 1161 to 1704 of the family's 1831-position model. The record is from RNAcentral.
AGGGCACCACCAGGAGUGGAGCCUGCGGCUUAAUUUGACUCAACACGGGAAAACUCACCCGGCCCGGACACUGUAAGGAUUGACAGACUGAGAGCUCUUUCUUAAUUCAGUGGGUGGUGGUGCAUGGCCGUUCUUAGUUGGUGGAGCGAUUUGUCUGGUUAAUUCCGAUAACGAACGAGACUCUGGCCUAUUAAAUAGACGAGGUAUCUAAAUGUAUCUCGCGCUUCUUAGAGGGACGAGCGGCGUCUAGUCGCAUGAAAAAGAGCAAUAACAGGUCUGUGAUGCCCUUAGAUGUCCGGGGCUGCACGCGCGCUACAAUGAAAAUAGCAGCGCGUGUCGAAAACCUUUUCUGGAAAGAAUUGGUAAACGCGAAAUAUUUUCGUGAUAGGGAUAGGGGAUUGAAAUUAUUGCCCUUGAACGAGGAAUUCCCAGUAAAUUCGAGUCAUCAGCUCGAGUUGAUUACGUCCCUGCCCUUUGUACACACCGCCCGUCGCUACUACCGAUUGGAAGACUGAGUGA